This 406-nucleotide ribosomal RNA is filed under the name uncultured bacterium. Its description in RNAcentral is "partial 16S ribosomal RNA". It matches the Rfam family "Bacterial small subunit ribosomal RNA", at positions 30 to 526 of the family's 1533-position model. The record is from RNAcentral.
AUUGAACGCUGGCGGCAGGCCUAACACAUGCAAGUCGAACGAGUGGCGGACGGGUGACUAAUGUCUGGGAACCUGCCUGAUGGAGGGGUAUAACUACUGGAAACUGUCGCUAAUACCGCAUACCAUCAGAUGUGCCCAGAUGGGUUUAUCUAGUUGGUGGGGUAACGUCUCACCAAGGCGACGAUCCCUAGCUGGUCUGAGAGGAUGACCAGCCACACUGGAACUGAGACACGGUCCAGACUCCUACGGGAGGCAGCAGUGGGGAAUAUUGCACAAUGGGCGAAAGCCUGAUGCAGCCAUGCCGCGUGUGUGAAGAAGGCCUUCGGGUUGUAAAGCACUUUCAGCGGGGAGGCGUUACCCGCAGAAGAAGCACCGGCUAACUCCGUGCCAGCAGCCGCGGUAAUUC